Molecule: microRNA precursor, 106 nt
Filed under: Procavia capensis (Cape rock hyrax)
Lineage: Eukaryota; Metazoa; Chordata; Mammalia; Hyracoidea; Procaviidae
Description: miRNA (ENSPCAG00000019578.1)
Source: RNAcentral
AAAUACAGAUUCUUGGGUGCUAUUCCAGUCCCAUUGUAUUGGAUUAUUUCAGGUUGGAGUCCAGGAAUCUGCACUUUAAAUGCACUCAGGUGGCUUUUGGCCAUUG